AACGCACCUUGCACUCUUUGCGCAAGUAAAGAGUAUACCUGUUUGAGAAUUAUGACUACCUUUACCAUCUGGUAGAUUUGGCUGUUCGACCAAAAGGUCGUCGGCUUAAAUGGAGUAAGCUAUGGGCUGGGCACGGCGCCUAGACAUUGUGUGAUAGAGGCACCUCGUGUCUACUCACAAUGCGUCUGGGCGAUCAACCUGCUUGGUUCCGGCUUGACAGGAGGCUUUGCGGCCACCACCUUUUGAACUGUAAUCUCAAAUCAGGUAAGGCUACCCGCUGAACUUAA
RNAcentral lists this unclassified non-coding RNA (287 nucleotides) under uncultured fungus. RNAcentral describes it as "sequence contains 5.8S rRNA gene, ITS2, 28S rRNA gene". Lineage: Eukaryota; Fungi. The record is from RNAcentral.